This 1704-nucleotide ribosomal RNA is filed under the name Triticum aestivum (bread wheat). RNAcentral's name for it is "partial small subunit ribosomal RNA". The record is from RNAcentral. Lineage: Eukaryota; Viridiplantae; Streptophyta; Magnoliopsida; Poales; Poaceae.
AUGGUUCCCAACGACGCCGCGAGCCGCGGCGGCGAGAUCGUGGAGGUCGUCGUAGGCGAGCCGGCCUCGCCGUCGGCCGCAAUGCGGCUCAUGGACUUCAUCCCCAUCUACAUUCCCACCGUGGAGAAGGGAGCGCUGAGCAGGGGCGCGCGCAAGACGCGGUUCCUCGACUUCCUUCGCGCGCGCCCGUCCAAGGAGUGGUUCCUCCGGUCCACCUUCGUGGGGCGCCUCCGCCGCAGGAGCCAGGUCACGGCCGGGGAAGAUGAAGACGGCCCGGACUCCGACGGUAACGCCGGUGGGUGCCGGCCGCGGAGGAGGCGGCGGUUCCGCGUGCCGUUCGUGCGGAAGAUCAGGUGGGGCAAGCUGUGGACUCACGCGGUGAGCUGGUGCAGGCGGCCGGCCAACUUCGGGAUGAUCAUCUGGCUGGCGUUCGUCGCGGCGGGGCUGCUGCUGCUGUUCCUGCUCAUGACGGGGUUGCUCGACGACGCCAUCCCGGGGGACGAACGGCGCAAGAAGUGGUCGGAGGUGAUCAACCAGAUCCUCAACGCGCUCUUCACCAUCAUGUGCCUGUACCAGCACCCCAGGAUCUUCCACCACCUGGUGCUGCUCCUCCGGUGGCGCCCCGACGGCGACUGCGAGGCCAUCCGCAAGGUGUACUGCAAGGAGGGCGCGCCGGUGCCGCCGCGCGACCGCGCCCACAUGCUGGUGGUGGUGGCGCUGCUGCACAUCACCUGCCUGGCCCAGUACUUCUGCUGCGCUCUGUUCUGGAGCUACUCGCGCACCGACCGGCCCAACUGGGCUCUCAACAUCGGCUACGGCUUCGGCACGGGGCUCCCCGUCGUCGCCGCCCUCUACCUGGCCUACAGCCCGCUGGGCCGGAAGCAGGCACGCGACCCGGACGCGGGGCCGUCGUCGUCGGGCGAGGAGGCGAGCCGUCACGGCGGGGCUCCGGAGAACGACGGCCGCGGCGUGGCGAUCAGGAUAUACAACCGGUCCGUGGUGGUGAGCAGGCCGGAGUGGAGCGGCGGGCUGUGCGACUGCUGCGACGACGGGACGGUGUGCGCGCUGUCGGCGACCUGCACCUUCUGCGUCUUCGGGUGGAACAUGGAGCGCCUCGGGUUCGGCAACAUGUACGUGCACGCCUUCACCUUCAUCCUGCUCUGCGUCGCGCCCCUCCUCAUCUUCAGCGUCACGGCGCUCAACGUCCACGACGACGACAUCCGCGACGCCGUCGUGGCAGUGGGCGUGCUCCUCUGCUUCUGCGGCUUCCUCUACGGCGGCUACUGGCGGACGCAGAUGCGGAAGCGGUACAAGCUGCCGGCAGGAGGCGGCGGGCGGCGGGCCGCGGUGGGCGACUGCGCCAAGUGGUUCUUCUGCUGGAGCUGCGCGCUCGCGCAGGAGGUGCGGACGGCUAACUUCUACGACUUCGACGACGAUCGAUUCGUCGGCCACGGGGCGCGCAACGAGGAGGGCCGCGCCGUGCUGGUGCCGCUGCCGCGGGAGGCGGCCACGUCGACGCACUCCCGGAGCCUGUCGUGCCCGCCCAAGAUUGACGCCAUGGCAGCACUGGGCGGCGCCGGCACGGGCGCACUGGAUGAGCAGAUGGUCGACGUCGCGAUGGGGAGGUCGGCCACGUACAACGGCUAUGGCGAUGCCAUGAGGCCGCCUUUGCCGCCGCUGAUACAAAUGGACAGGGAAGAGUAG